RNAcentral lists this transfer RNA (77 nucleotides) under Lachnospiraceae bacterium. Its description in RNAcentral is "tRNA-Phe". It matches the Rfam family "tRNA". From Rfam's summary of the family: Transfer RNA (tRNA) molecules are approximately 80 nucleotides in length. Lineage: Bacteria; Bacillati; Bacillota; Clostridia; Lachnospirales; Lachnospiraceae. The record is from RNAcentral.
GGGUCAGUAGCUUAAGAGGUCUGAGCGACGGUCUGAAAAACCGUAGGAUGGUGGAUCGUUAGCACUCUGACCCACCA